AUUGAACGCUGGCGGCAUGCUCAACACAUGCAAGUCGAACGGUAGCAGACCUAGCUUGCUAGGUGCUGACGAGUGGCGGACGGGUGAGUAACGCGUGGGAAUCUGCCCAGUAGCGGGGGACAACUCGGGGAAACUCGAGCUAAUACCGCAUACGCCCUACGGGGAAAGGGACUUCGGCCACUAUUGGAUGAGCCCGCGUCGGAUUAGCUUGUUGGUGGGGUAAGUGGCCUACCAAGGCGACGAUCCGUAGCUGGUCUGAGAGGAUGAUCAGCCACACUGGGACUGAGACACGGCCCAGACUCCUACGGGAGGCAGCAGUGGGGAAUAUUGGACAAUGGGCGAAAGCCUGAUCCAGCAAUGCCGCGUGUGUGAAGAAGGCCUGAGGGUUGUAAAGCACUUUCAAUCGUGAAGAAAAGUUAGCAGGCUAAUACCCUGUGACCUUGACGUUAACGAUACAAGAAGACACCGGCUAACUCCGUGCCAGCAG
Molecule: ribosomal RNA, 487 nt
Filed under: uncultured bacterium
Lineage: Bacteria
Description: bacterial SSU rRNA
Rfam family: Bacterial small subunit ribosomal RNA
Source: RNAcentral